RNAcentral lists this ribosomal RNA (777 nucleotides) under uncultured Neocallimastigales. RNAcentral describes it as "partial large subunit ribosomal RNA". It matches the Rfam family "Eukaryotic large subunit ribosomal RNA", at positions 24 to 627 of the family's 3401-position model. The record is from RNAcentral. Lineage: Eukaryota; Fungi; Neocallimastigomycota; Neocallimastigomycetes; Neocallimastigales.
UAUCUCUGUAGAGUCUGCAUAUCAAUAAGCGGAGGAAAAGAAACUAACUAGGAUUCCCUCAGUAACGGCGAGUGAAGCGGGAAGAGCUCAAAUUUCGAAAUCUUCAAGGUUCUACCUUGACGAAUUGUAGUUUAAAGAAGUGUUUUCUGUUGGUAGUUUUGGUAAAAGUUCUUUGGAAUAGGACAUCAUAGAGGGUGAGAAUCCCGUAUUUGACCAUUACUUUCCAGCGUUGUGAUACACUUUCAAAGAGUCGGAUUGUUUGGGAAUGCAGUCCAAAAUGGGUGGUAAAUUUCAUCUAAAGCUAAAUAUUGGCGAGAGACCGAUAGCGAACAAGUACCGUGAGGGAAAGAUGAAAAGAACUUUGAAAAGAGAGUUAAACAGUACGUGAAAUUGUCAAAAGGGAAGCGUUUGACACCAGUGUUGUUUUCUCGAAAAUCAAUUAAAAAAGGCAGGAUUUUGUGUUGUAUUGACUUUAUCAGCUUUCUGCACUCUUUUCUUGUCUUUUUUAAUGCACUUUUCGUUUAACAAGUCAACAUCAAUUUCUUUUGUUGUAAAAGGGUCAUUGGAAGGUGGCUUUCUUUUCGGAGAAAGUGUUUAUAGCCUUUGGCCUCUGCAAUCGGAGAGAUUGAGGUCUGCAGCGUAGAUCCUUCGAGGUUAGAUACAUUUGUGCUAAGUUAUAGCCUUUCAUAGACAACUUGUUGACUAUGAUCAGUCAUGUAGCUUACUCGCUUAUGCUAUUUUACCUACGCUUAGGAUGUUGACGAUCAGCUGAGCGCG